Mytilus californianus (California mussel) is the source of this 336-nucleotide long non-coding RNA. RefSeq lists it as uncharacterized. The transcript has 3 exons. Lineage: Eukaryota; Metazoa; Mollusca; Bivalvia; Mytilida; Mytilidae. The record is from RefSeq and is a predicted model, not a curated record.
AGGAGUCAGAAAUACAGUGUGAAUUAAACUGUCCAGUUAAACAUGAAGCGUUCUUAAGCGAAAUUCCGACAGCCCUUCAUUUGUGUCGGCUUUCCUCAUUGUACAAUUUAGAUGAGAUUCGGGAAUUGGUUACCUAUCUUGGACUUCCAUACGUUAACUGGAGCGAUCUCUAUCAAUUUGAAAGUGAACCAGAAGUACUGAAAUUCAAAGUACUGCGUCGAUGUCACGAGAAAUCAACUCUGACAUUCAGAAAAAUUAAGGAAGCUGUAGAGGGAGGACACAUACAAACUCCUCAUACCCUUUGCAAGGUAAUGAAAGGAGCAUCUGUAGACUUUG